This 1414-nucleotide ribosomal RNA is filed under the name Bacteroides thetaiotaomicron. RNAcentral describes it as "bacterial SSU rRNA". It matches the Rfam family "Bacterial small subunit ribosomal RNA". The record is from RNAcentral. Lineage: Bacteria; Pseudomonadati; Bacteroidota; Bacteroidia; Bacteroidales; Bacteroidaceae.
GCUACCCGCNGUCGNGGGGNANCAUUUCANGUUUGCUUGCAAACUGGCACAUGGNNACCGGCGCACGGGUGAGUAACACGAUAUCCAACCUGCCGAUAACUCGGGGAUAGCCUUUCGAANGAAAGAUUAAUACCCGAUGGUAUAAUCAGACCGCAUGGUCUUGUUAUUAAAGAAUUUCGGUUAUCGAUGGGGAUGCGUUCCAUUAGGCAGUUGGUGAGGUAACGGCUCACCAAACCUUCGAUGGAUAGGGGUUCUGAGAGGAAGGUCCCCCACAUUGGAACUGAGACACGGUCCAAACUCCUACGGGAGGCAGCAGUGAGGAAUAUUGGUCAAUGGGCGCAGGCCUGAACCAGCCAAGUAGCGUGAAGGAUGACUGCCCUAUGGGUUGUAAACUUCUUUUAUAUGGGAAUAAAGUUUUCCACGUGUGGAAUUUUGUAUGUACCAUAUGAAUAAGGAUCGGCUAACUCCGUGCCAGCAGCCGCGGUAAUACGGAGGAUCCGAGCGUUAUCCGGAUUUAUUGGGUUUAAAGGGGAGCGUAGGUGGACAGUUAAGUCAGUUGUGAAAGUUUGCGGCUCAACCGUAAAAUUGCAGUUGAUACUGGCUGUCUUGAGUACAGUAGAGGUGGGCGGAAUUCGUGGUGUAGCGGUGAAAAUGCUUAGAUAUCACGAAGAACUCCGAUUGCGAAGGCAGCUCACUGGACUGCAACUGACACUGAUGCUCGAAAGUGUGGGUAUCAAACAGGAUUAGAUACCCUGGUAGUCCACACAGUAAACGAUGAAUACUCGCUGUUUGCGAUAUACAGUAAGCGGCCAAGCGAAAGCAUUAAGUAUUCCACCUGGGGAGUACGCCGGCAACGGUGAAACUCAAAGGAAUUGACGGGGGCCCGCACAAGCGGAGGAACAUGUGGUUUAAUUCGAUGAUACGCGAGGAACCUUACCCGGGCUUAAAUUGCAUUUGAAUAUAUUGGAAACAGUAUAGCCGUAAGGCAAAUGUGAAGGUGCUGCAUGGUUGUCGUCAGCUCGUGCCGUGAGGUGUCGGCUUAAGUGCCAUAACGAGCGCAACCCUUAUCUUUAGUUACUAACAGGUCAUGCUGAGGACUCUAGAGAGACUGCCGUCGUAAGAUGUGAGGAAGGUGGGGAUGACGUCAAAUCAGCACGGCCCUUACGUCCGGGGCUACACACGUGUUACAAUGGGGGGUACAGAAGGCAGCUACCUGGUGACAGGAUGCUAAUCCCAAAAGCCUCUCUCAGUUCGGAUCGAAGUCUGCAACCCGACUUCGUGAAGCUGGAUUCGCUAGUAAUCGCGCAUCAGCCAUGGCGCGGUGAAUACGUUCCCGGGCCUUGUACACACCGCCCGUCAAGCCAUGAAAGCCGGGGGUACCUGAAGUACGUAACCGCAAGGAGCUCCUAGGAAC